UCGAAUCCUGCAAUAGCAGAAUGACCCGCUAGCACGUUAAAAAUUUAGGUGAGCGUCGGGAGGCCUCGGUCUCCUGUUUGCGAAUCCAUGGUAGGUGGCCACUCCCGGGUGGCCACUGGCCUACAAAAUCAUUCGGGCGCGGUAUGCGCCAAAGGACCUUUAAAAUCGAAUUUGUACCGUCUGUAUCCCGUUUAAGCGGGCAUCGGCGUCUUUCCAAAAUAC
This 222-nucleotide ribosomal RNA is filed under the name Angelica dahurica. Its description in RNAcentral is "partial internal transcribed spacer 1". The record is from RNAcentral. Lineage: Eukaryota; Viridiplantae; Streptophyta; Magnoliopsida; Apiales; Apiaceae.